GACGAACGCUGGCGGCGUGCCUAAUACAUGCAAGUUGAGCGAUGAAGAUUGGUGCUUGCACCAAUUUGAAGAGCAGCGAACGGGUGAGUAACGCGUGGGGAAUCUGCCUUUGAGCGGGGGACAACAUUUGGAAACGAAUGCUAAUACCGCAUAACAACUUUAAACAUAAGUUUUAAGUUUGAAAGAUGCAAUUGCAUCACUCAAAGAUGAUCCCGCGUUGUAUUAGCUAGUUGGUGAGGUAAAGGCUCACCAAGGCGAUGAUACAUAGCCGACCUGAGAGGGUGAUCGGCCACAUUGAGACUGAGACACGGCCCAAACUCCUACGGGAGGCAGCAGGAGGGAGUCUUCGGCAAUGGACGAAAGUCUGACCGAGAAACGCCGCGUGAGUGAAGAAGGUUGUCGGAUCGUAAAACUCUGUUGGUAGAGAAGAACGUUGGUGAGAGUGGAAAGCUCAUCGAGUGACGGUAACUACCCAGAAAGGGACGGCUAACUACGUG
This 497-nucleotide ribosomal RNA is filed under the name uncultured bacterium. RNAcentral's name for it is "partial 16S ribosomal RNA". It matches the Rfam family "Bacterial small subunit ribosomal RNA", at positions 28 to 507 of the family's 1533-position model. The record is from RNAcentral.